AUAAAGGAAAUUUCACAUAUAUACUGUGUAAUUUAUGAAUGAAAACAGUGUCGACUUACUGUCGUUUGCGAAAGUGUCCAAAGAUAUCUUCGCAAUCGUUCACUGCGAACGUGAUUGCCGAGUGAUACAACCUGAUUUCUAAUGACGAUUCCUACGAUUUCGUCGUGAUCAUUAUUCCAAUGAUUUAGCACAAUUUUAACAGGCAGCGUUAUCAGUGAGUGACAGAAUUCGAGAAUUCGCGGAGUCGCACAUAUCUUCAAGUUCAAGGUCAUGUUGUCGCAGUGGACUCGAGAAACAGUGGAAAAUGUGGAACGCAGUGCGACUUUAUGAACUUUUGCUCGUAGUUAGCAACGGCGCGAUUAAAUAUGAAAACCACGGUUGUCACAUUCUUUAUCUCUGUCUUAAUUAAGCCGCAAUUUUUUAAUGCGAAUUAUUAAAAUUGAUUAAGAUCGA
Long non-coding RNA from Ceratina calcarata, 453 nucleotides. RefSeq lists it as uncharacterized. The record is from RefSeq and is a predicted model, not a curated record. NCBI's taxonomy places the organism in Eukaryota, Metazoa, Arthropoda, Insecta, Hymenoptera, Apidae. The transcript has 2 exons.